Molecule: small RNA, 843 nt
Filed under: Pongo abelii (Sumatran orangutan)
Lineage: Eukaryota; Metazoa; Chordata; Mammalia; Primates; Hominidae
Description: processed transcript
Source: RNAcentral
CCUGGAAUCAAGUUGCAAACACGAUCCUCAAUAGUAAUCAGAGCUAAGCGGCAAUUACAGGACGUAUGAUUUGUGCAGAAGCACUGCCUGCCGGCUGUUUCCUAGCACCACAUUUCACAGGAGCACCAGGUUGAGAUGAUGGAAUUAUUUACUUUUAAAUGUAACAUCUCGUACAAUGCUCAAAUGCAGACGUGAACGUGGACUGUAACCUUAAAAACAAAGGCAGUACAUGCAACACUACUACCCUUCCUGCUCUUGUGCGCACACCUACCCUGAUGAUGCAGCCUUCACUGGAUAUCAAACCAUUUAUGUCUUUUCCAGUGGACAGUAGUUCUGCUGUUGGGCUCUUUCCAAAUUUUAACACAAUGGAUCCUGUGCAAAAAGCGGUUAUUAACCAUACAUUUGGAGUAUCCAUUCCCCCAAAGAAGAAACAAGUUAUUUCUUGUAAUGUCUGUCAGCUUCGCUUUAAUUCAGAUAAGAUAAAGGGAAGUCAAAAGCCAGCAGUUCCAGUCAGCCAUCAAGUUCUGAAAGUGGCUCAUUUCUCCUCAAAUCUGGCACAACACCCCUACCACCUGGAGCAGCCACUUCUCCCUCCAAGAGCACAAAUGGAGCUCCCGGUACUGUUGUUGAAUCAGAAGAAGAAAAAGCCAAAAAAUUACUUUAUUGUUCACUAUGCAAAGUGGCUGUGAACUCCCUGUCACAGCUAGAGGCACACAACACAGGAUCUAAACACAAGACCAUGGUUGAAGCUCGUAAUGGGGCUGGUCCAAUUAAAUCCUAUCCUAGACCUGGAUCAAGAUUAAAGAUGCAGAAUGGCAGUAAGGGGUCAGGACUACAGAACAA